GCACAAGCAGUGGAGUAUGUGGUUUAAUUCGAAGCAACGCGAAGAACCUUACCAGGUCUUGACAUCCGAUGCAUAGUGCAGAGAUGCAUGAAGUCCUUCGGGACAUCGAGACAGGUGGUGCAUGGUUGUCGUCAGCUCGUGUCGUGAGAUGUUGGGUUAAGUCCCGCAACGAGCGCAACCCUUAUUGCCAGUUACUACGCAAGAGGACUCUGGCGAGACUGCCGUUGACAA
This 231-nucleotide ribosomal RNA is filed under the name uncultured bacterium. RNAcentral's name for it is "partial 16S ribosomal RNA". It matches the Rfam family "Bacterial small subunit ribosomal RNA", at positions 923 to 1161 of the family's 1533-position model. The record is from RNAcentral.